ACACGACUACAUUAGAUACCCCGGUAGUCCUAGCCGUAAACGAUACUCGCUAGGUGUCGGCCACGGUGCGACCGUUGUCGGUGCCGUAGGGAAGCCGUGAAGCGAGCCACCUGGGAAGUACGGCCGCAAGGCUGAAACUUAAAGGAAUUGGCGGGGGAGCACCACAACGGGUGGAGCUUGCGUUUAAUUGGAUUCAACGCCGGAAAUCUUACCGGGACCGACAGCAACAUGAAGGCCAGGCUGAAGACUUUGCCGGAUUAGCUG
RNAcentral lists this ribosomal RNA (264 nucleotides) under uncultured archaeon. Its description in RNAcentral is "partial 16S ribosomal RNA". It matches the Rfam family "Archaeal small subunit ribosomal RNA", at positions 717 to 982 of the family's 1478-position model. The record is from RNAcentral.